Molecule: ribosomal RNA, 468 nt
Filed under: uncultured bacterium
Lineage: Bacteria
Description: partial 16S ribosomal RNA
Rfam family: Bacterial small subunit ribosomal RNA
Source: RNAcentral
GACGAACGCUGGCGGCGUGCUUAACACAUGCAAGUCGAACGGAAAGGCCCUGCUUUUGUGGGGUGCUCGAGUGGCGAACGGGUGAGUAACACGUGAGUAACCUGCCCUUGACUUUGGGAUAACUUCAGGAAACUGGGGCUAAUACCGGAUAGGAUCUCCUGCUGCAUGGUGGGGGUUGGAAAGUUUCGGCGGUUGGGGAUGGACUCGCGGCUUAUCAGCUUGUUGGUGGGGUAGUGGCUUACCGAGGCUUUGACGGGUAGCCGGCCUGAGAGGGUGACCGGCCACAUUGGGACUGAGAUACGGCCCAGACUCCUACGGGAGGCAGCAGUGGGGAAUAUUGCACAAUGGGCGGAAGCCGGAUGCAGCAACGCCGCGUGCGGGAUGACGGCCUUCGGGGUGUAAACCGCUUUCGCCUGUGACGAAGCGUGAGUGACGGUAAUGGGUAAAGAAGCACCGGCUAACUACGUG